This 270-nucleotide long non-coding RNA is filed under the name Carica papaya (papaya). RNAcentral's name for it is "long non-coding RNA (CPAP_LNC007509)". Lineage: Eukaryota; Viridiplantae; Streptophyta; Magnoliopsida; Brassicales; Caricaceae. The record is from RNAcentral.
UCAAAACCAUUCCUUACAUAGAGACUUACAAACACCAAAUACAAACUAUCGCUCAACUCUUCCUUGUGAAAUGCAGGUACAAAGAUAUAAGGGGAGGAAGGCUCCCACUAAACUGAUCAGCGUGAUAUGGUUCGCUUCGAGAGGAUGUUGAUCGACUCUUUAAUAUACUGGAGAGAUUCAUCUUUGCCCAGCAGGCCUGGGAGAAAAUGAGGGAGUUGUCUGGCUCUUCUUUAGUGCCACAGUUUGAGCCACCCUUACAGCAUAAAGAUU